RNAcentral lists this non-coding RNA (114 nucleotides) under Macleaya cordata. Its description in RNAcentral is "Antisense RNA which regulates isiA expression". It matches the Rfam family "Antisense RNA which regulates isiA expression", at positions 1 to 125 of the family's 187-position model. The record is from Rfam by way of RNAcentral. Lineage: Eukaryota; Viridiplantae; Streptophyta; Magnoliopsida; Ranunculales; Papaveraceae.
AAUAAUUUAACAUUUGGGCUAGGAUCAAGUUGGUAAUUUCUCUUACAUCUCCCCUGAACCCAAGUAUCAUAUAUGCUCCCAAAAUAAAGAUCCUCGAGUCCUAAAAGACCUACA